This is an RNA transcript of Oncorhynchus mykiss (rainbow trout), 2461 nucleotides long. It is a transcript of the gene named meiotic nuclear division protein 1 homolog, with no coding region annotated. The record is from RefSeq and is a predicted model, not a curated record. NCBI's taxonomy places the organism in Eukaryota, Metazoa, Chordata, Actinopteri, Salmoniformes, Salmonidae.
CUUGUACUACCGCGGGAAACUCAUUGCUUGCACUGUAUCACUGAAGCCGGAGAAACUCAGUCCGUGAAAGUUAUUUACAUUGCAAAAUGUCCAAAAAAAAAGGUCUCAGUCUUGAGGAGAAGAGGACUCGCAUGAUGGAGAUUUUCUUCGAGACAAAAGAAGUGUUUCAGCUGAAGGACAUAGAGAAAAUCGCCCCCAAGACUAAAGGAAUAACACCCAUGUCAGUGAAGGAGGUUCUCCAGAGUCUGGUGGAUGACAAUAUGGUGGACUGUGAGAGAGUGGGCACCUCAAACUACUAUUGGGCCUUCCCCAGCAAGGCCCUGCAUGCCCGCAAGCGCAGGUUGGAGGAGCUGGACAAGCAGCAUACCGUGGAGAAACAAAGGAAGAUGUCUCUGCAGCAGGCUGUCGACAAAUCAAAAGUAGGACGUGAAGAAACCGAGGAGCGGGCCACUCUUCUAAAGGAACUGCAGGCUCUGAGGGAGAAGAGGAGUCAUCUGAAGGCAAAGCUGGAGAAGUACAGGGAGUGUGACCCGGAAGUGAUCGAGGAGAUGAGAAAGUCCAAUGUCACAGCUAAAGAGGCAGUGUCCAGAUGGACAGGUAAGUCAACUGAAAGACAAACCUGACUAACACACACACGAACAGGCCACCAGACUGUGUGGACAUUACACUGGGUUGGGUGAUUCAACAUGGUGUAAGCAAAGGCCCCACACAUUCACCAUUACUGGCCAUUUUCACACACACACACACACACACGUUUUCUUCCCCUGACCAUUUAUUUUGAGUCGUGUAGGAAAAGGCACAUCCAUUACAAAGUGGUAUUUCUCUGGGAAUCCCAUUCUGUGAUGACAAAGCUUUUUUUUUUUUGCCUUCACUGAAAACGCAGUACCUACUAACUAACUAACUGCAGCCCUAAGCACUCCGUGUGUGUUCACCCAGUGUGAAAGGCCGUAAAUUAAAGGUGAGUUAUCCACUGCAACACGAUAAUUGGUAUGUAAAUAAUAACCCUGCUCCUCACUAAACUCCACCUAGUAGCCCCUAACUCCCUGUAGUCCCUCCACAUGACCAUAAUCACCCUGAGGUCACUGGUCACCCCAGGUUACUGCCAGGGGUCACGUAGUGCACAGGGAGCCUGUGCAGGGUAUGCUGGGAGUUUACACUUUCCCUCUCACUAUCACACACAGCCUUGCAUGCACGCACACACACCCCAGGGAUCACACCACCACCCACUCUGUAAAUAGUGUCAUUGCAUGACGUUAGCGAGUGAAUGUUAUCCGGCCUGGGUUUAUUGUUAAGCCUGACAAGUCACUUAAAGGUGCAAUUAGACCUAUCCAUUGAUCCCAUGGAGUGAAUGUGCUCUGCUAACCUUCUCAUAAAGGAUCAACUUUUACUCACAACAAAUCUCUAUUUGGCAACAUUGACGUCAGAAUUGUUUAAAUGUGACUUAAAUUAAUUUUUUGUUCUGUUUGAUGAAUAAUGCGACGCAUCGGAGUGAGAACACAACAAUAUGCGGUGAUCCAAUUGUUCUAAUUUGACAUAUAACGUCUUUGCCAUCAAGUCGUGGGCCAAGAGGAAGUUUGGUUUCGAUGAUGGACGCAUCGAUAAAGCCUUCGGGAUACCUGAAGACUUCGAUUACAUGGACUGACUGCAUGAUCUGUAAUUUCUAUUAAUUGUUUUUGUUAAUUGAGUGACAGCCAUUGCACACAUUGCAAUGCAAGUCAGACAUGUUACUUAAAUCCACUCAGGCAAGCCCCUCAAAAAAAACAGCCUUGUGCUUUUCGUAGUUGACUUGGAGCAGCUGCCAUUUUGACGCUCGCUCAUGGCCCUCGCAGGUGCAAAUGCUGCUUCUGUGGCACUUGAGAAGGCGCUGUGCUAACCUUUUGGCCACCUUUUUGCAUGAAAAUCAAGAGCCCAGAGUCGUUGACGGAAAUUUGUUUUGUCCAGCACCCCCCCACCACACACAGAAAAAGAAGCGGCACAUCGAACUCCCAUCGAUGUUAAAAAUCUGAUCUUACCUGAUUUAAACGGAUGGAAAUUAAAACAGUCAUUUCCAUCAAAAACUCAUGUUGUUUUUGCUCUCCCCAUCUCUCUUUUUGUAGUUUACUUUGACAAAAUAAGCAUCUGCCACUGUGGCACCAGGACUGACUGGAUUUUCCUUAUCUCCUGUUUUAAAUCAAAAGAGGGAGAGGGUCAUUGUGGACAUAACGUGCUUGGUGAUUGACAAUGCAGUGGAAAGCAAGGAGCACCGAAACACAAAUAGGAGUGCCACUGAAAUAUCGUUGAGGAGGCUUUACAGUGGAGAUAUGUUUAGAAUUCACCAUUUAGAAGAGCCAUAAAUUAUAAUUCCCUGUAAAUGUGCUUUAUAGUUUUGUGGCUCUGUAGACUCGACAGGAUUUCAGGUUUUGUUGUUGAAAACAUGAUGGAUGAUUUGUUUGAAUGGAGAGGUGAAUGAACAGUAACAUUU